This 471-nucleotide ribosomal RNA is filed under the name uncultured bacterium. RNAcentral describes it as "bacterial SSU rRNA". It matches the Rfam family "Bacterial small subunit ribosomal RNA", at positions 329 to 793 of the family's 1533-position model. The record is from RNAcentral.
CUACGCACUCCUACGGGAGGCAGCAGUGGGGAAUAUUGCACAAUGGGCGCAAGCCUGAUGCAGCCAUGCCGCGUGUAUGAAGAAGGCCUUCGGGUUGUAAAGUACUUUCAGCAGUGAGGAAGGUGGGUAUGUUAAUAGCAUAUUCAUUUGACGUUAGCUGCAGAAGAAGCACCGGCUAACUCCGUGCCAGCAGCCGCGGUAAUACGGAGGGUGCGAGCGUUAAUCGGAAUUACUGGGCGUAAAGCGCAUGCAGGUGGUUUGUUAAGUCAGAUGUGAAAGCCCGGGGCUCAACCUCGGAAUUGCAUUUGAAACUGGCAAACUAGAGUACUGUAGAGGGGGUAGAAUUUCAGGUGUAGCGGUGAAAUGCGUAGAGAUCUGAAGGAAUACCGGUGGCGAAGGCGGCCCCCUGGACAGAUACUGACACUCAGAUGCGAAAGCGUGGGGAGCAAACAGGAUUAGAUAACCUGGUAG